RNAcentral lists this ribosomal RNA (549 nucleotides) under Phormidium sp. KL27. Its description in RNAcentral is "bacterial SSU rRNA". It matches the Rfam family "Bacterial small subunit ribosomal RNA", at positions 190 to 748 of the family's 1533-position model. The record is from RNAcentral. Lineage: Bacteria; Bacillati; Cyanobacteriota; Cyanophyceae; Oscillatoriales; Oscillatoriaceae.
AUGCCGAGAGGUGAAAUGUAAUUCGCCUGAGGAUGAGCUCGCGUCGGAUUAGCUAGUUGGUGGGGUAAGAGCCCACCAAGGCGACGAUCCGUAGCUGGUCUGAGAGGAUGAUCAGCCACACUGGGACACUGAGACACGGCCCAGACUCCUACGGGAGGCAGCAGUGGGGAAUUUUCCGCAAUGGGCGCAAGCCUGACGGAGCAAGACCGCGUGAGGGAAGAAGGUCUGUGGAUUGUAAACCUCUUUUGAUGGGGAAGAAGUACUGACGGUACCCAUCGAAUCAGCCUCGGCUAACUCCGUGCCAGCAGCCGCGGUAAUACGGAGGAGGCAAGCGUUAUCCGGAAUUAUUGGGCGUAAAGCGUCCGUAGGUGGAUUUGGUCAAGUCUUCGGUCACUAAGCGCGGAGCUUAACUCCUGUAAAGGCCGAGGAAACUGGUUAGCUAGAGUGCGAUAGGGGCAAGGGGACUAUUCCCAGUGUAGCGGUGAAAUGCGUAGAUAUUGGGAAGAACACCGGUGGCGAAAGCGCCUUGCUGGGUCUGCACUGACACUG